RNAcentral lists this ribosomal RNA (305 nucleotides) under uncultured bacterium. RNAcentral's name for it is "bacterial SSU rRNA". It matches the Rfam family "Bacterial small subunit ribosomal RNA", at positions 335 to 634 of the family's 1533-position model. The record is from RNAcentral.
AUCCUACGGGAGGCAGCAGUAGGGGAUUUUCGUCAAUGGGCGCAAGCCUGAACGAGCAAUGCCGCGUGAACGAGGAAGGUCUUCGGAUCGUAAAGUUCUGUUGAAGGGGAAAAAGAGCGGAGAGAGGAAAUGCUUUCUGAUUGAUAUUACCCUUCGAGGAAGUCAUGGCUAACUACGUGCCAGCAGCCGCGGUAAUACGUAGGUGGCGAGCGUUAUCCGGAAUGAUUGGGCGUAAAGGGUGCGUAGGCGGCCUGCUAAGUCUGGAGUGAAAGGUACCGGCUCAACCGGUACAGGCUCUGGAAACU